Molecule: ribosomal RNA, 253 nt
Filed under: uncultured bacterium
Lineage: Bacteria
Description: partial 16S ribosomal RNA
Rfam family: Bacterial small subunit ribosomal RNA
Source: RNAcentral
UACGGAGGGUGCAAGCGUUAUCCGGAUUCACUGGGUUUAAAGGGUGCGUAGGCGGGCAGGUAAGUCAGAGGUGAAAUCUCCGGGCUUAACCCGGAAACUGCCUUUGAUACUAUCUGUCUUGAAUAUGGUGGAGGUAAGCGGAAUAUGUCAUGUAGCGGUGAAAUGCUUAGAGAUGACAUAGAACACCCAUUGCGAAGGCAGCUCACAAAACUGUAACUGACGCUGAGGCACGAAAGUGUGGGGAUCGAACAGG